GCUGGGUGUGGUGGCCCACACCUGUAGUCUCAGCUACUCGGGAGGCUGAGGCAGGAGAAUCACUUGAACCCAGGAGGUGGAGGUUGCAGUGAGCUGAGAUCGUGCCACUGCACUCCAGCCUGGGCAACAGAGUGAGACUCUGUCUCAA
This is an unclassified non-coding RNA of Pongo abelii (Sumatran orangutan), 148 nucleotides long. It matches the Rfam family "Metazoan signal recognition particle RNA". From Rfam's summary of the family: The signal recognition particle (SRP) is a universally conserved ribonucleoprotein. It is involved in the co-translational targeting of proteins to membranes. The record is from Ensembl. Lineage: Eukaryota; Metazoa; Chordata; Mammalia; Primates; Hominidae.